ACCGUUAGAUCUUUAUCAAAUGGCUUAGAAUCACACCGUUGUUCCUUUUCCUUUUACAAAAGCAUGCCGUCAUCUUAUUUUCCAUGUUGGUAAAUCAACCCACUCGUAGGCCCAUAACAAAAAACCUAUACACAAUGAUGGAGACAUCCCUUCAAUGAACAUCAACAAUAUCAUCCACCAACAACAGCAAGAGAAUGGAGGGAAGCUAUAGUUCUAUUGUUUAAGUGUUUUUCUUUUGGGUAAGUAAGUAAGUAAGUGAGUGCACGCAACAAAAACAAAAACGGUUGUAACUAACUUAAUGCAAAUGCAAAUUUAGAGAGGUUGGAUUUUGUAACGGCUUUUGCGUUGCAUGCGGUAAUUGGUUGCAAAUUGCAAUGACGAAGUUGUUCAACGUUUCCACUGCAGCUACUAAUAUGGGUUUCAAUAUUUCUCAGGAAUUCUUCUUCUUCUUCUUCAGCCACAAAUUCCAAGGUGUAUGUUUCUAUUUCUCUUCCCUUUUUCUUAUUCUUCUUAAUUUCACAACAACAACACACCGAUAUCCAAUGAACUUUGUUUGAAUCUUUUUGGAAUCCGAUGAUCUUUUUUUGUUUGUGAGCUAGGUUGUUGUUUUGAUUUGUUAAUCUCAAAAUUCUUUCAUUCUUUUCUGCAUAUAAUAACUUCAUAUUCUUUUGUUGUUAUAUAAUUAUUACUAUUACUGCCACUCACAAUUACAUUCACAUUCACAAUUCACAGUAACAGAUUCAAUUCAUUCAUAUAUAGGAACACUUUUGUUUGAAUUUGUAAAGAAAGAAAAAACAAUACAGUUUGAUUGGAUUUGUUUUUGGAAUUUAUACAUUCAUCGGAUUCCUUUUUUUUAAUCGGACAUUAUUGAAAUUGAAACAAUGUUUUCACACACACACAUAGAUUGUUGUCAUCACACACUGCAUUUUCUCUCCUUUUUUUGUAACAUACACAUGCAAAUUGAGUUUUAGGGGAAACAAAAACAAAACCAAAAUUUCUUCCACAUUUGAUCAAGUUAUUACUUAUUGCUAAAUUGGGUGAUCUUGCAUCUCCCCGGGGAACCUCUAUAAGCCGCAUUUGACUUGACAAUGUGAUAUUGUUAUUUGGUGGUGAAAGAGCUUUUGACUUGACAAUGUGAUAUUUGAAAUUGACUCAAAAAUUGUUAUGGUUAGUUUCUACUCACUAAACUCAAAUGUUAAUAAAUUUGGUGUUGCUAUACUCGAUUGAAUGACUUUUAUUUUCUCAUAAAUUAAAACUCUAGAUCAAUUGAGUUUGUUAAAAAGGAGACAAUCAUUUGUUGCGCUCACAUUUUAAUAGGAUAGUCGCAUCCUAGAUUAACCUUGGUGACAUGAACACUAUCCAAUAGAAGUGUAUAACAUUAUCAAAAAGUGCAUAACAACCAAGCUAGAAGUGACUAUAAUAUUUUGAAAUGAGUUGAGUUAAAUAGUUUGUUUAUAGAGUCGGGUCCAACAACUAAACCCAAUAGAAAACAAAAAAUUAUAAAGAAAAUAGAAAUAAGAAAAUGUACCCCUACAAAACCUUAUUGGUAUUUUUUUAUGACCUGUUUUAGUUUUUAUUUUACUGAACUUUUAACUUUGGUCUUGUAUUGUUUCUCAAAAUAUAAUAUAUAUAUAUGUGGUCUUUUUUUACUUGUUAGACUUUUUUUACAUGUAAAGCUGAUGACAAUUGUAUCAAAAAUUAUGAAGUAGAUGAAGAUGACAAUUUAGAAAUUGUUAACCCUUCAAAGAAUAUAGUGGAAGUGAAGACAUAAGUUGUGAAUUUUUUUUUAUGCUCUGAGUCUAAAUCAAAGGCCUUCGAAGAUUGUUAUAUUAGCCGGUGGAAAACUAUGGAGUGUUACCUCGAGGGAAUACUUCAAUUAGGGAUAGCAAAUGAAGUACUUGGAGCUUUAUAAAAUGCUCAAUUCUAUUUCAAAAAAGGAAAAGUUAUUGACUUUCUCUUUAAUGUUAGGAAAAUUGUUUCUUAAAACAAGUCUCUCAGCAGAAUCCUAAACCCUAAACCCUAAUCAGAAGUUCAAUAUGUGAAGAAGGUUUUAAAUGAAAAAGCCCAAGUGUAGAGUAAUGUGCAAGGUUACCCUUCACACAUAUUUUGGAGAUUUACUUCAAAUGCAACUUUCAGAAAA
Non-coding RNA from Cicer arietinum (chickpea), 2140 nucleotides. NCBI's taxonomy places the organism in Eukaryota, Viridiplantae, Streptophyta, Magnoliopsida, Fabales, Fabaceae. The record is from RefSeq and is a predicted model, not a curated record.